CCCUUAGAUGUUCUGGGCUGCACGCGCGCUACACUGAAGCGUUCAACGAGUAUUCACCUUGCCCGGGAGGGUUGGGUAAUCUUUUGAAAACGCUUCGUGAUGGGGAUAGAUUAUUGCAAUUAUUAAUCUUCAACGAGGAAUUCCCAGUAAGCGCAAGUCAUAAGCUUGCGUUGAUUACGUCCCUGCCCUUUGUACACACCGCCCGUCGCUACUACCGAUUGAACGUUUUAGUGAGGUAUUUGGACUGGACCUUCGGAGGUUCGCGCCUCCGUUGCUGUUCGGGAAGACUCCCAAACUUGAGCGUUUAGAGGAAGUAAAAGUCGUAACA
Molecule: ribosomal RNA, 328 nt
Filed under: uncultured eukaryote
Lineage: Eukaryota
Description: partial 18S ribosomal RNA
Rfam family: Eukaryotic small subunit ribosomal RNA
Source: RNAcentral